RNAcentral lists this unclassified non-coding RNA (1049 nucleotides) under Hevea brasiliensis (rubber tree). Lineage: Eukaryota; Viridiplantae; Streptophyta; Magnoliopsida; Malpighiales; Euphorbiaceae. The record is from RNAcentral.
GGCAAUAUAGCAAAAUAUCAGCACAGGCAUGUAGAAACUAGAAAGCCAUAUACUCAAAGCCCAAUUAAUGAAGCAAAAUUGGUGAGUAUUUCUAUGCUGCACUUGGAUUCAACCACUAUCUAUGAAGUUUACAGUGAAGAAUUCAAGUAGAGUCUUAAAUGCAAACAAGCAAUGAGAAUUAUAUAUGCUUAGAUUGUCUACACAAGCCUCCUCCUGUUAGCUUCUGUUUCUAUAGCUAAAUCAACACCAAGCCAAAAAUCUUCGUCAGCAACAAGGAAUGGUAUUUGCAGAUAAAAUGCCAUCAUAGCCUUCUAUUAUAUAUACAUGCCUUCACUACAGAGGAAAAUCAACUGAAUUUAUAAAACAUCGACAUGCAAAACAUAUGUAAAAAUAAAAGGACAAAAGAUUUAUAUAGACCACGGUGACAGAGCAUUCCUCACAAAAUUUGCAUCGACCAUAUGAACAAAUGUGCCCCUCAAAAAAUCCCCUCCAUCCAUCCCCGCCUUCCCAUCUAACACUUAAGCAAGCAAAUUUGAUACAUUCCUUCAGCCUCUUUGUAGUUUAAGAGAUCGCCAUGAAAAUUGCCAGUCACUGGUGUGCAAGUCCCUUUAUAUUGUUGCAGAAAUACACUUCUCAGUACCUGUCGCAGGAGACUUGCCAUGUGGAACAACCUGGUCCUCACUUGAAGCACCGGCUGCGUGAAUUUUCAACCUUUUUGAGCUGCAUGUACUGCUUAUCUUCUCAUUUUUAAUAUCUUCGUCCACAAAAUUUUGAUCCGACACCUCUUUGUUGCUGUCAACCAAGCAAUGACAACAUGAAUAGCAGCUACAUAGAUAAGAAUGCUUCAAAGAAGCUGAUGUUCCACUUGCCACCGCCUUCUUCCUUCUCAAGUUGGUUGCUUGACUUUGCAAUAUGGCAUUUUCUUGGAUAGCAACUUGGGAUUUUCUUGCAGACCUAAAGUGCUGGAUCCAAGGAUUUAUCAGAAGACCAUGGUGUUCAUUUGCCAUAUUUACAUCUGAAUCAGGCUUUUGAAAAUUGAUUUUCUUCCA